GGGGACGAGCGGGUUUCGACAGGGAAGGUCGGGCCCGGACAGCAGGCCGAGGUCGCCACAGCCCUCGUUAAACAGGUGGCAAAAAGUAACUGGCGAGCGCGAACUCGCUCUCGCCGCCUAAGCGCUAGGCGGCGCGUCGCCCCGGCCUCUCCCCUGCGGGCCGGGAACGGCGCCAGAGAGCAGGGGUGCUGUCUCCCCGACGCCGAUAGGGGAGGCCUAAGACCGAUCGGCUGGCCCGUCGGCACGCUGCCAGCGGCGGUACGGCGGGCGAGACCCAAGCGCUGGCUAAGCCUGUAGCCGGUCCGGGUUGGUCUUCCCCUGGACGAGGGGUUCGACUCCCCUCCGUCUCCACCA
Molecule: transfer-messenger RNA, 354 nt
Filed under: Dehalococcoidia
Lineage: Bacteria; Bacillati; Chloroflexota
Also listed under: 3 other names
Description: HRBIN24 sp025062275 Standard tmRNA
Rfam family: transfer-messenger RNA
About the family: Bacterial tmRNA, also known as 10Sa RNA or SsrA, is named for its dual tRNA and mRNA-like properties. Its role is to liberate the mRNA from a stalled ribosome. To accomplish this part of the tmRNA is used as a reading frame that ends in a translation stop signal.
Source: RNAcentral